Alligator mississippiensis (American alligator) is the source of this 661-nucleotide long non-coding RNA. RefSeq lists it as uncharacterized. The record is from RefSeq and is a predicted model, not a curated record. The transcript has 5 exons. Lineage: Eukaryota; Metazoa; Chordata; Crocodylia; Alligatoridae.
CUCUGUGGCAAUAUUUGCUUCUGUGUCUACAUAAUGAGCAAUGUCUGUUUCAUUGGAGCCACCUACGGAAAAAGAAACAAGAAGAAAAAGGGUGUACAAGCAUCAGGAGUCCACAGCAGAAGAUGGGGGAGCAGGGCCAAUGAAAGAGAACUCACUGGGGCUUCUUCCCUGACAUAGCCAUGCAAUAACAGCCAAAUAGCCUUUCCAAUAUGUAUGUGAAGUAUACGAGAUCAAAGUAAGAGAGCACAAGCAACAUUCAAAACAUUACUUCAUUGCUGGUAUGCAUAAUAUCCAUGAGUUUGGACUUAAAUGGCCCAGAAACAAAUAAUCCUCUCAGGAGCAAAGGCAGAAAGAUUUCUUCCAACCUUCUUCCCUCAGCUCUCCAUGGCUCACCAAAAGCUGCAAGGGAGUUGAGGUCUACUUACCAGCAAAGGACAGCUGGGCUAAGAGGGUCUGGGCUAAGAAGAAACCUGAUGGAUUGGCUUGUAUCUAUGCAACCUGAAUGGCUAUGAGCUCCACAGAUGACACAAGAUCUUUUGAUUUUGGAAGGAGAGAAGAAUUUCAAUGUCAUAUGGAAGGACUGAUAUGAAGUUCUAUGAAGUAAUACUCUCCAAGUUUCAUGUCCUCUUAAUGGAAAUAGUCAACAUAAGGAAUAAUACAG